RNAcentral lists this ribosomal RNA (2072 nucleotides) under freshwater sediment metagenome. RNAcentral describes it as "bacterial LSU rRNA". It matches the Rfam family "Bacterial large subunit ribosomal RNA", at positions 843 to 2925 of the family's 2925-position model. The record is from RNAcentral.
AAAUAGCUGGUCUCUCCGAAAACUAUUUAGGUAGUGCCUCNGUAUAUCAUUCUCGGGGGUAGAGCACUGUUAUGGCUAGGGGGUUCAUAAGAACUUACCAAACCAUUGCAAACUCCGAAUACUGAGAAAUGCAAUUACGGGAGACAGUCCAUGGGUGCUAACGUCCGUGGACAAGAGGGAAACAACCCAGACCGACAGCUAAGGUCCCAAAUGACGUGCUAAGUGGAAAACGAAGUGGGAAGGCAUAGACAGCCAGGAUGUUGGCUUAGAAGCAGCCAUCAUUUAAAGAAAGCGUAAUAGCUCACUGGUCGAGUCGUCCUGCGCGGAAGAUGUAACGGGGCUAAGCACGUAACCGAAGCUUCGGAUGCUGCAUUCUUCGGAAUGUAUGCAUGGUAGGAGAGCGUUCUGUAGGCCUGUGAAGGUGAUCUGUGAGGAUUGCUGGAGGUAUCAGAAGUGCGAAUGCUGACAUGAGUAGCGAUAAAGGGAGUGAAAAGCUCCCUCGCCGAAAACCCAAGGUUUCCUGCGCAACGUUCAUCGGCGCAGGGUGAGUCGGCCCCUAAGGUGAGGCAGAGAUGCGUAGCUGAUGGGAAACAGGUUAAUAUUCCUGUACCUGUAUACAAUGCGAUGUGGGGACGGAGAAGGUUAGGUCAGCCGGGUGUUGGAUGUCCCGGUUCAAGCGUGUAGGCAGAUUCUUUAGGCAAAUCCGGAGAGUCUUAAUGCUGAGGCGUGAUAACGAGUGCACUAGUGCAUGAAGUGAUUGAUACCAUGCUUCCAAGAAAAGCCACUAAGCUUCAGUUGUAUAAGACCGUACCGCAAACCGACACAGGUGGGUAGGAUGAGAAUUCUAAGGCGCUUGAGAGAACCCGGGAGAAGGAACUCGGCAAAUUAGCACCGUAACUUCGGGAGAAGGUGCGCCCCGGUAGUGUGUAGCGAUUUACUCGUGAAGCACGAUGGGGUUGCAGUGAAAAGGUGGCUGCGACUGUUUAAUAAAAACACAGCACUCUGCAAACACGAAAGUGGACGUAUAGGGUGUGACGCCUGCCCGGUGCUGGAAGAUUAAUUGAUGGGGUGCAAGCUCUUGAUCGAAGUCCCAGUAAACGGCGGCCGUAACUAUAACGGUCCUAAGGUAGCGAAAUUCCUUGUCGGGUAAGUUCCGACCCGCACGAAUGGCGUAACGAUGGCCACACUGUCUCCUCUCGGGACUCAGCGAAGUUGAAAUGUUUGUGAAGAUGCAAUCUACCCGCGGCUAGACGGAAAGACCCCAUGAACCUUUACUGUAGCUUUACAUUGGACUUUGACAAGAUUUGUGUAGGAUAGGUGGGAGACGUUGAAGCGGAGUCGCUAGAUUUCGUGGAGUCAACCUUGAAAUACCACCCGUGAUUUAUUUGAUGCCUAAUCCCCGAAAGGGAGACAUUGUUUGGUGGGUAGUUUGACUGGGGUGGUCGCCUCCAAAAGAGUAUCGGAGGCUUCUAAAGGUGCCCUCAGUACGGUUGGUAACCGUGCGUAGAGUGCAAUGGCAUAAGGGCGCUUGACUGUGAGACCAACAAGUCGAGCAGGUACGAAAGUAGAGCAUAGUGAUCCGGUGGUUCCGCAUGGAAGGGCCAUCGCUCAAAGGAUAAAAGGUACGCCGGGGAUAACAGGCUGAUCACUCCCAAGAGCUCACAUCGACGGAGUGGUUUGGCACCUCGAUGUCGGCCCGUCACAUCCUGGGGCUGGAGAAGGUCCCAAGGGUUCGGCUGUUCGCCGAUUAAAGUGGUACGCGAGCUGGGUUCAGAACGUCGCGAGACAGUUCGGUCCCUAUCUGUUGUGGGCGUUGGAAGCUUGAGAGGAGCUGACCUUAGUACGAGAGGACCGGGUCGGACAAACCUCUAGUGCACCUGUUGUGGCGCCAGCUGCAUCGCAGGGUAGCUAUGUUUGGAUGAGAUAAGCGCUGAAAGCAUCUAAGCGCGAAACUCGCCUCAAGAUGAGGCUUCCUUUAAGGGUCGUUAUAGACGAUGACGUUGAUAGGCUGCAGGUGUAAAGGUGGCGACACCAAAGCCGAGCAGUACUAAUUACCCGUAGACUUUUUAACU